Molecule: long non-coding RNA, 1318 nt
Filed under: Salmo salar (Atlantic salmon)
Lineage: Eukaryota; Metazoa; Chordata; Actinopteri; Salmoniformes; Salmonidae
Description: lncRNA (ENSSSAG00000111930.1)
Source: RNAcentral
GCUGGGUCUAGUCAGGCUAGAGAUGGUGGUGUAGAUGAGGCUGGGUCUAGUCAGGUUAUGGAUGGUGGUGUAGAUGAGGCUGGGUCUAGUCAUGCUACAGAUGGUGGUGUAGAUGAGGCUGGGUCUAGUCAUGCCAUGGAUGGUGGUGUAGAUGAGGCUGGGUCUAGUCAUGCUACAGAUGGUGGUGUAGAUGAGGCUGGGUCUAGUCAUGCUAGAGAUGGUGGUGUAGAUGAGGCUGGGUUUAGUCAUGUUAUAGAUGGUGGUGUAGAUGAGGCUGGGUCUAGUCAUGCCAUGGAUGGUGGUGUAGAUGAUGCUGGGUCUAGUCAUGCUAGAGAUGGUGGUAUAGAUGAGGCUGGGUCUAGUCAGGUUAUAGAUGGUGGUGUAGAUGAGGCUGGGUCUAGUCAUGCUAGAGAUGGUGGUGUAGAUGAGGCUGGGUUUAGUCAUGUUAUAGAUGGUGGUGUAGAUGAGGCUGGGUCUAGUCAGGUUAUAGAUGGUGGUGUAGAUGAUGCUGGGUCUAGUCAUGCCAUGGAUGGUGGUGUAGAUGAGGCUGGGUCUAGUCAGGUUAUGGAUGGUGGUGUAGAUGAGGCUGGGUCUAGUCAGGUUAUGGAUGGUGGUGUAGAUGAGGCUGGGUCUAGUCAGGCUAGAGAUGGUGGUGUAGAUGAGGCUGGGUCUAGUCAGGUUAUGGAUGGUGGUGUAGAUGAGGCUGGGUCUAGUCAUGCCAUGGAUGGUGGUGUAGAUGAGGCUGGGUCUAGUCAUGCUACAGAUGGUGGUGUAGAUGAGGCUGGGUCUAGUCAUGCUAGAGAUGGUGGUGUAGAUGAGGCUGGGUUUAGUCAUGUUAUAGAUGGUGGUGUAGAUGAGGCUGGGUCUAGUCAGGUUAUAGAUGGUGGUGUAGAUGAUGCUGGGUCUAGUCAUGCUAGAGAUGGUGGUAUAGAUGAGGCUGGGUCUAGUCAGGUUAUAGAUGGUGGUGUAGAUGAGGCUGGGUCUAGUCAGGUUAUGGAUGGUGGUGUAGAUGAGGCUGGGUCUAGUCAGGUUAUGGAUGGUAGUGUAGAUGAGGCUGGGUCUAGUCAGGUUAUGGAUGGUGGUGUAGAUGAGACUGGGUCUAGUCAGGUUAUAGAUGGUGGUGUAGAUGAUGCUGGGUCUAGUCAGGUUAUGGAUGGUGGUGUAGAUGAGGCUGGGUCUAGUCAGGUUAUGGAUGUAGUGUAGAUGAGGCUGGGUCUAGUCAGGUUAUAGAUGGUGGUGUAGAUGAUGCUGGGUCUAGUCAGGUUAUGCUAGUGGAUGAGGAGAGUAUAGUGGGGAAGUGUAAGAAACUAGGGGGGAG